This 450-nucleotide ribosomal RNA is filed under the name uncultured bacterium. RNAcentral describes it as "bacterial SSU rRNA". It matches the Rfam family "Bacterial small subunit ribosomal RNA", at positions 335 to 798 of the family's 1533-position model. The record is from RNAcentral.
ACUCCUACGGGAGGCAGCAGUGGGGAAUAUUGCACAAUGGGCGCAAGCCUGAUGCAGCAACGCCGUGUGAGUGAAGAAGGUUUUCGGAUCGUAAAACUCUGUCCUAAGGGAAGAAACAAAUGACGGUACCUUAGGAGGAACGCCCCGGCUAACUACGUGCCAGCAGCCGCGGUAAUACGUAGGGGCAAGCGUUAUCCGGAAUCACUGGGCGUAAAGGGUGCGUAGGCGGCUUAGCAAGCCAGGGGUGAAAGGCAUUGGCUCAACCAAUGUAAGCCUUUGGAACUGUUAGGCUUGAGUGCAGGAGAGGUAAGUGGAAUUCCUAGUGUAGAGGUGAAAUUCGUAGAUAUUAGGAGGAACACCAGUGGCGAAGGCGACUUACUGGACUGUAACUGACGCUGAUGCACGAAAGCGUGGGUAGCGAACAGGAUUAGAUACCCUGGUAGCGACUGA